Long non-coding RNA from Haliotis rubra (blacklip abalone), 386 nucleotides. RefSeq lists it as uncharacterized. NCBI's taxonomy places the organism in Eukaryota, Metazoa, Mollusca, Gastropoda, Lepetellida, Haliotidae. The record is from RefSeq and is a predicted model, not a curated record. The transcript has 4 exons.
UGGGCGGAUGUGGUAGUGGGAAGAUGUAGGUAGAUGGGCGGAUGUGGUAGUGGGUAGAUGGGCGGAUGUGGUAGUGGGUAGAUGUAGGUAGAUGUGCAUUAUGGUAGUGGGUAGAAGUAGGUAGAUGGACGGAUGUGGUAGUGGGUAGAUGUAGAUAGAUGGGCGUUUGUGGAAGUGGGUAGAUGGGCGGAUGUUGUAGUUUGAGAUGUAGGCAGAUGGACGGAUGUGGUAGUGUGUAGAUGUAGAGAGAUGGGCGGAUGUGGUAGUGGGCACAUGUAGAUAGAUGGGCGGAUGUGGUAGUGGGUAGGUGUAGGCAGAUGGGCGGAUGUGGUAGUGGGUAGAUGUAGGUAGAUGGGCGAAUGUGGUAGUGGGUAGAUGUAGAUAGA